This is a long non-coding RNA of Platichthys flesus (European flounder), 618 nucleotides long. RefSeq lists it as uncharacterized. The record is from RefSeq and is a predicted model, not a curated record. NCBI's taxonomy places the organism in Eukaryota, Metazoa, Chordata, Actinopteri, Pleuronectiformes, Pleuronectidae. The transcript has 3 exons.
GGAGAAUCAGUGCAAAGAUGAAGCUUCUUCUGAGCAGUCUGCUGCUGGGCUCUCUCUGUGCCUUCUCAUCUCGCAGUGCUUCAUGUACAGACAUUGUGACCCAGACCCCUGAUGUUUCUGUCACGGAGGGUGAUGCUCUAAACAUCACCUGCUGCUUCAACUCGACGUCUGAAAGAAUGAAGUUCAAAUGGCUGAAAAAUCAGAAAUUUGGAAUCAGCCCAGCGUCUUGAAUAAUCGGUCUCAAGGAUCCCAGGUGAAUCCUUCCUGUUCAACUUUGAACUUUUCCAACAUCGAAAUAGAGGAUUCAGGGUAAUACAUCUGCAAAGUGGAUGUGACCAUACCGGUUCAUGGCCAAUGGAAGGAAAUGGUACCAUCAUCACAGUUAAGCCCAAAGGAAACACGGCUACCCCUUGCAAUCGGGACACUUCAGCCCAAAGAAUAGAAUUAGAGGAAAGAGACGAAAUAACUGGCAGCAGCAAGACAAGUGGAUGAAGUCAGAUGAAGCUGCAAACUGUUGUUAACUGUAAUUCCUCGUCUUCUCCCUGUUCUACUGUCACAUAAAAAGAAACAAAUCUCUCGCUUAUUUCAUUCAAUAAUCACCAGCAACACUUGUUGAGA